Molecule: long non-coding RNA, 213 nt
Filed under: Solanum tuberosum (potato)
Lineage: Eukaryota; Viridiplantae; Streptophyta; Magnoliopsida; Solanales; Solanaceae
Description: long non-coding RNA (STUB_LNC000316)
Source: RNAcentral
UCCACAACUAAAACCUGCAAUAAACCAUUCCAACCUAACAGUUCACAGUUUACAAGCACAUAUCUCAAUAAUAACAUUCUAACAAUCACAUAUUCUCAACAACAAACUCAAUAUUCAUCAAUCACAACUUCAACAAAAAAAACACUCACAAUAUCAGCAACACACAAGAUCAAGUUCACCAAAUAGAGGUAAUCAAAUAUCAAGUACUUUCCA